GGAAGUCCAUGAUAUGCAAUGGAAGUGGAGAGAGAACAUUGUGGGUUCAACAACCCAACCCAACUCCAUGCAUGCGAAUGGCACCUUCCCUUCUCCAGCAGCCUGCAGGGGAACGGAGUUUAUCGAUCACCAACCUUCGUGCCUGCCUCUGCUUCUCAGUCAUGUGCCAUGGUUUUCUCAAUGUUUCAACUCGUCCGACGUCUGGACAUCAUAUUAUCAGAAAUGUUGUACGACACACUCUCCAUCACACAAAAACAUAUGCUGAUGACCAUAAUUGCAGAGGGAAAGAUUGUUUCACAGAUGGUUCAAUUUCAGCUCAACUGCAAUUCAAAACACCUAUAUUCUACAAACUGGUAGAGAAUUAUUACUACAUUUUCUAUUUAACAUUUUAUUUACGUUUUAUCAACUUUAUCCAGCCUCCAUUGUUAUUGUUAACAAAAUUUCUUAUUGGUCCCUUAUCCCAUAUUGUAUCUUCACAUG
Molecule: unclassified non-coding RNA, 480 nt
Filed under: Hevea brasiliensis (rubber tree)
Lineage: Eukaryota; Viridiplantae; Streptophyta; Magnoliopsida; Malpighiales; Euphorbiaceae
Source: RNAcentral